This 449-nucleotide ribosomal RNA is filed under the name uncultured bacterium. RNAcentral's name for it is "bacterial SSU rRNA". It matches the Rfam family "Bacterial small subunit ribosomal RNA", at positions 328 to 794 of the family's 1533-position model. The record is from RNAcentral.
UUGCCAGACUCCUACGGGAGGCAGCAGUGGGGAAUAUUGCACAAUGGGGGAAACCCUGAUGCAGCGACGCCGCGUGAGUGAGGAAGUAUUUCGGUAUGUAAAGCUCUAUCAGCAGGGAAGAAAAUGACGGUACCUGACUAAGAAGCCCCGGCUAACUACGUGCCAGCAGCCGCGGUAAUACGUAGGGGGCAAGCGUUAUCCGGAUUUACUGGGUGUAAAGGGAGCGUAGACGGCUAGUCAAGUCAGAAGUGAAAGCCCAGGGCUCAACCUUGGGACUGCUUUUGAAACUGAGUAGCUAGAGUGCAGGAGAGGUAAGCGGAAUUCCUAGUGUAGCGGUGAAAUGCGUAGAUAUUAGGAGGAACACCAGUGGCGAAGGCGGCUUACUGGACUGUAACUGACGUUGAGGCUCGAAAGCGUGGGGAGCAAACAGGAUUAGAUACCCCCGUAGU